RNAcentral lists this ribosomal RNA (407 nucleotides) under Caiman crocodilus (spectacled caiman). RNAcentral describes it as "partial 16S ribosomal RNA". It matches the Rfam family "Bacterial large subunit ribosomal RNA", at positions 1953 to 2519 of the family's 2925-position model. Lineage: Eukaryota; Metazoa; Chordata; Crocodylia; Alligatoridae. The record is from RNAcentral.
AAGGUAGCGUAAUCACUUGUUCUCCAAAUAAGGACUAGUAUGAACGGUUAAACGAGAAUCUAACUGUCUCCUGCAAGCAGCCAAUGAAAUUGAUCUUCCUGUGCAAAAGCAGGAAUGACCCCACCAGACGAGAAGACCCUGUGAAACUUAAACCCACUAAGUUAAACCAACAACAUUAACUGCAACACCCACGACUGUUGAAACCUGACUUAACGUUUUCGGUUGGGGUGACCCUAAAACAAAGAAAAACUUUUAAGACAACUAUAACUAAGCCCGAAUUAUUAACCAAGACCCACCCCUCAAAGUACUUAAAUGUAAUUAGAUCCGACAACGUCGAUCAACGGACGAAGCUACUCCAGGGAUAACAGCGCAAUCCCCCUCAAGAGCUCAUAUCGACAGGGGGGUUU